This is a long non-coding RNA of Ictalurus punctatus (channel catfish), 436 nucleotides long. Lineage: Eukaryota; Metazoa; Chordata; Actinopteri; Siluriformes; Ictaluridae. The record is from Ensembl.
GGACUACGAUGAUGCCGUCCCUGCUGGACCGAUCCCUGAUAACGUGGAUGAGGAUGAAGCUGAGAAUUAUGAUGACGCCGUUAGAGCUGAUCAGAAGUCAGUUAUACUGACAGAGGACGUGUCCGAGAACUACGACGAUGCAGUUCCCACUGAAACGAGCACAAACAUCAUCACAGACAGUCCAGAAGAUUAUGAUGAUGUCAUCACUGAGGAACAGGAUGUAGGAGAGACAGAAAAAUAUGAUGACGUGGAGGAGAAAUCUCAGAAAGACAGGGAUCAUGUGACUGAGACACGCCACCAAAGGCCUUUUCUCAGGAAAUUACAUUUCAACUUUUAUAAACACAAAAAAUGAUUUUAUUAUACUUCCAAAAAUGCCCUGCUUUCUGAGCUGUGUUCAUUUCCCCCUAGUUAUUAGCAAAUAGAGUAGGAGAGUUAC